RNAcentral lists this ribosomal RNA (1477 nucleotides) under uncultured prokaryote. Its description in RNAcentral is "partial 16S ribosomal RNA". It matches the Rfam family "Bacterial small subunit ribosomal RNA". The record is from RNAcentral.
ACGAACGUUGGCGGCGUGGAUGAGGCAUGCAAGUCGCACGUGAAAGUCUUCGGACGAGUAAAGUGGCGGACGGGCGAGUAACACGUAAUCAAGCUGCCCCUGAGACGGGGAUAACCUCGGGAAACCGAGGCUAAUACCGGAUGGUCUCAACGGAUCGCAUGGUCCGAUGAGUAAAUGGUGGGGUCCUUCGGGACCUGCUGCUCAGGGAGGGGAUUGCGGCCUAUCAGCUUGUUGGUGAGGUAAUGGCUCACCAAGGCUAUGACGGGUAGCCGGUCUGAGAGGACGACCGGUCACACUGGGACUGAGACACUGCCCAGACUCCUACGGGAGGCUGCAGUCGAGAAUCUUCCGCAAUGGGCGAAAGCCUGACGGAGCGACACCGCGUGUAGGAUGAAGGCCCUCGGGUUGUAAACUACUGUCACGCCGUAUGAAUGCCCUGUCGUUAAUAGCUUCAGGGUUGACGUCAAGGCGAGAGGAAGCACCGGCUAACUCCGUGCCAGCAGCCGCGGUAAUACGGAGGGUGCAAACGUUGUUCGGAAUCACUGGGCAUAAAGCGCACGUAGGCGGUUCUGCCAGUCUGAUGUGAAAGCCCUCGGCUCAACCGGGGAACUGCAUUGGAUACUACAGAACUAGAGGACGGUUGGGGUGAGUGGAACUCCUGGUGGAGCGGUGAAAUGCGUAGAUAUCAGGAGGAAACCAGUGGCGAAAGCGGCUCACUGGACCGUAACUGACGCUGAGGUGCGAAAGCUAGGGGAGCGAACGGGAUUAGAUACCCCGGUAGUCCUAGCCGUAAACGAUGGGCACUAAGUAGGGGACCUCCCAAGGGAUCCCUGCCGUAGCAAAUGUGUUAAGUGCCCCGCCUGGGGAGUAUGGUCGCAAGGCUAAAACUCAAAGGAAUUGACGGGGGCUCACACAAGCGGUGGAGCAUGUGGUUUAAUUCGAAGCAACGCGAAGAACCUUACCCAGGCUUGACAUGCAGGGAUUAAUCCGGUGAAAGUCGGAGGAUUGCCUUCGGGUGUAACCUGCACAGGUGUUGCAUGGCUGUCGUCAGCUCGUGUCGUGAGGUGUCGGGUUAAGUCCCAUAACGAGCGAAACCCCUGCCACUAGUUACCAGCGGAUAAUGCCGGGGACUUUAGUGGGACUGCCUGUGUCAAGCAGGAGGAAGGUGGGGACGACGUCAAGUCAUCAUGGCCCUUACGUCCUGGGCUGCAAACGUCCUACAAUGGUCGGUACAAAGGGUUGCAAUCCCGUGAGGGGGAGCUAAUCCCACAAAGCCGGCCUCAGUUCGGAUUGUAGGCUGCAAUUCGCCUACAUGAAGUUGGAAUCGCUAGUAAUCGCGGAUCAGCUACGCCGCGGUGAAUAUGUUCCUGAGCCUUGUACACACCGCCCGUCAAGCCACGGAAGCCGGAGGUACCCGAAGUCGUUAACCCAACCGCAAGGAGGGAGACGCCGAAGGCAAGCCUGGUGAUUGGGACUA